GAUCAUUCUUUGUGCGUGUGAUGGUUCUGCUGUCUGUAGGAUGAUGAUAGGUAGAACUUCGGUUUGGAUUCAGUCGAUUCCCUCGCGAUCAGGCUUGUGGCCGAUCGUCGGUAGGGCCUGUCGUCUGUUAACCUCGAGGCUAGGAUGUGGGUGAUUGUGACUUUCAGUGGCGAUUCAGUUCGAUUCGCUCGAGAGCAGGUUUGUGGCCGAUUCGUAAGGGCCUGUCGUCUGUUAACCUCGAGGCUAGGAUGUCGGUGAUUGUGACCUUCAGUGGCCUAGCGCGCUCUUGAAGGAAGAAUAUGGCUACCAAUUGCAGGUUGAUUUAGAGUCGUUUGUGUAAUUCUGCGCUUCCAAGGGAUCUUAUUCUUUAAGUGUUAUCCAGGUAACUCAUGAUCAUGAGACGUCUUUGAGGAAAUAUUGUUCUGGCAGCUUUUUAGUUCUGUCGGAUUGUGUAUUUUUGAUCUGUUUACCCGUAUGCCGUCCAUAGAGGGAGGACCAGAGCUGUCUACGGCUCGCGAGUUUUCGUUCGAACGUCCGCAUGAGAUGUGAGGUUCAGUUUUUGUGAAUCUGUAUGCUUUGCCAGAGUGGACUUUCCCGUCGUUUCCUCUGCUUUGGUUUAGUCUAGAGGUUAUUUUCACCAUGGGAAGAACUAGUAUUCGUUUGAGUAUUUAGCUACUCAGACCCUUGCCGAUUUCCGUAUUACGAUAGAGACUUCCCUUCAUCUGUGAUCUAUCUACUCUCUUUCGAUUUGCACUAAAUUUAUUUAGAGUGUCUCACAGUACUUUCUUUAGCACUUUGGGACUUGGGGGGAAGUGGAAGAUUUUCUUCGCGUAGUAGGCAAGUUCGAUUUUUUUGCGUAAGUUGCAUUUAGCUUUGUUCGGAUUUUGGGUUAGAAGGGAAAGUUCUCUCUGGCGAAGCUUACAGCUUUGUGCACUUUCAGAUGCCGCAUUCAGGUGAGUGAAACUGGGAGCCUUCUUGAAUGUGUUGUUCCCGAGUGCUUUUGAGUUUUAUCUUAUCGUGUGGUUACUUUUAUGGUCGAAACCUAGUAGGUUUCAUCUUGUGCGGGAUGUGGACUUCCCGGGGAUGGAUUACUUACGACGAGGAGACUUUGCGGAAGUGGAUGUGUUCCUUUGGGAGGACCUUUGUCGUACUGGAACAUGAGUAUCGUGGUGACGGAUUCCUUGCUGUCGACCUGUGAUUGUCCGUUUUAUAGUCGAAACCUAUUAAUAGAUUCCAUCUUGUUUUUGAUGUUCAGGGUUUUUCAGUGAACGCUCGUAUCCGCUCAGGGUCUGCGAUGUUGGAUGUUUUGCUGGUGGAGGGUAUUUGUCGUAUGGGGCCAUCAGUUUGUGAAAAUGGAUUCCUUGCUAGAGAGGACUUUCCUUUCUUGUCAUUUGUUGAUUGAGGGUAUUGUUGGUGAGAUGCCCUUUGUUCAUCAAGAAAAAUGAACUUGAACAGAAAGUCUUCUCUAGUAAAGUCUCCAUAUUGACGAUAUUCGGAUUCGGAUGGAAUGGUGAGAAAGGAGUGAAAGAAUUGGUGAUCAUCCACACUAAGGGAUGUAAACCAUCAGAUCGAUAAAUAUAAACUGAUGAAUAGACAAUGGAUGUAAAUGUUGGGAAGAUAUAAUAUUUUGCCUGUUAUAUUUCAGACAAUUGCUCUACUUCACUAUUGACUCAGCCUUUAUAGUGCCAAAUCCUAUGUGAAUUUUCGCAAGACUUAUAGACGUUAUUUCAAUUCUGUAUAUUUGUGAAAUUUGUUUAUGAUAGGACAUAAGCAUCAUCACCAAUGAUGGAACACCGUGGUCAUUAACUAUAGGCUACAAUACUUGUUCAACAAAGUGCCAUCGCUUUGGUCAUGAGUUUUGAUGAUUGUUUAUCAGUAUGGUGGUUUUUUCAUGCUGGAGAACGCAAUGUGUGCAUACUUGUUUGGGAAGAUGCCACCACUCAUGGAUUUUGACAUUUGUAUCACCUAGCAGUUGGUUUGCAUGGUUAAAAAGUGAAAUGAUGGUAGAACAAUUGAUGUUUAGAUAAUAUAGCAAACCAUCCUCAUCAAACUAUUUAGCUUGAAAUUUAGAACUCUUACAUGUUCAAAGUAAUUUCCCUUUCAUUAUGGCAUACAUUCUGGCAUGAAUAUCUUAUUAUGAUGAUUCCAUCUUUAUCUAGUCUCAAACAACUGAACAUAUGUGUUAACGUGACUCAUCUUUGUCAAAUGAAUAGAUUCUUAUUGCAUCUAGACUCUAUACAUUGAAGGUACAGAUGAUAACAUGAUCAUCAUCAUUUUCAAAGAAAUUGAUGUUGGCUUCUCUAGAUAAAUUACAAAUACUUAGUGAAAUAUCACUAUAUAAUCAUUUUGUUGAUUCAGUUGUUCGAGGCUUUAUUCUUCCAAUUGAGUAACAAUUGUGCCUAUUAAUACAUUAUGUUGCAUUAAUAUUAAUACUCUUGAAAUCUCG
This 2446-nucleotide non-coding RNA is filed under the name Apopellia endiviifolia. The record is from RNAcentral. Lineage: Eukaryota; Viridiplantae; Streptophyta; Jungermanniopsida; Pelliales; Pelliaceae.